CAAGCGGACGGGGGCGGGGCGGGGCCGAGGCUCAUGAAUGACUCACGGGGGGUGACGUCAUGGAGGUGCGAGGUUUCCCUGGUAACGACACAGGGCCCCGUGGGAGCGGGCGGAGCAGGAUAGCUGGGGACUGGGACCAGUAUAGCUGAGUGAAUGGGAACUGUUAGUGUUUGUGUGUGGGGUCGGGGGUAACUGGGACCAGAAUGACUCGUGGGGGUGGGGGCAUGGCUCCGGCCAGUAUAGCUAACGAACCAGUAAGGGAUAGUAACUGGGACCAGUAAGGGGGCUGGUACGAGUAUAGCUGGGUAACUGGGGCCCAUAAGUAGGGCGGGGGGGGCGAUAAAUGGGAUCAGUAUAGUUCGGUAAGUGGGGUCAGUAAUAAAGGGGCAAUUGGUAUCAGUAAGUGAGGAGUAAUUUAGACCAGUAUAGCUGGGUAAUUGGGACCAGUAAGGCGGGGGUAAGUGGGAGCAGUGCAGCUAGGUAACAGCUGGGGGCAAGGGUAACUGGUACCAGUAUAGCUGGGUGGGUGGGACCCCAGGGGCAGCUGCACCUCAGCCUGCGCUGCGCUGUGUUUGGAGCUGGCUCUUGUGCAGCUGCCGCACCCCAGAGCUGGGCACAUCUCCCGCCCUGAGUCCGGCUUGUACCUGGAGCCACAGGUGCCAAGGGUUGGGGGGGCUCGGGGGGCUCAUCCCGCCAAGCUCCAGCUCCAUCAGCGCAGCCAGGGCUCGGCUCCCUGGGGCUUCCUCCUGUCCCAGUGCGGCUCCCCUGCUCUCCCUCAUCGCCAGCCUCAACUUGCCCAGCUGCAGCUGGAGCCCAUUGAUCCUUGUCUUGUCACUUGCCCCCUUGGGGGACAAUGCAAGUCUGGAGUGCCCUCCAGACUGCCAUCCAACCCCCACUUUGCAGUCACCCAGGGCCUCUCCCAAUUGCCACAACGGUGCUGGCAGCGACUCUGCAAUCACAUUGCCCAGCCUCCCGCCUGGCCCCGUGGCUUGUGCAUGGCCACCUUUCCUGGGCGAUCCCUGACCUGUUCUCUCAGCACCAAGGGCUGCUCCCUCCUGCCCGCGAGGUGCUGCCCUGGCCCGUGAUGUCCCAGGCGAAAAAGGCAUCGAGCACUUCAGCCUCCUCUGCCUCCUCCGUCACCAGGGACCAACCUCCAAGGGAAGUGGCGCUGGCUCCUACCCCGGGGGUCUUUAAGAGGGGGCUGGACGAUUACCUAGUUGGGGUCACUUGAGCCCAGUUUUCCUCCUGCCCAGGCAGGGGGCGGACUAGAAGAUCUGCUAGGUCCCUUCCGACCCUGCAGCUAUGACUGCCCAGUACAGGAUGGUAACGGGCCAGUAACACGGGUUCCCUUCUCCAGUCAGUAUGGACCCACUUCUUUUGAGCAGCCUCGUGUACCAACGUCCUUGUAGAAACCUCCUCGUUGCCCUGCACAGCCCACCAUGCUCGACCUGCCCGACUGCAUCCCUGCUUGCCCCGGCCACGCUCUUACACUCCUCCUUUCUUUCUCCUCCCGGUUUCCUCUUCUUCCAAGCUUCUUUUCUGUGAGGUAUUUUACUGAGGCGCUCCCUGCUGAGCCCAGCUGGGCUCUGCCGGGCUCGCUCGUCCUCCUGCACACCGGGGCAGUUGUUCCUGCGCUCUCAGGAAGGCUUUGUUCAGCACAGCCAGCUCCCCUGGUCUCUUCCCGUCAGCCCCCAAGCGACUUUGAGUCCGCUGGGCUGUGCCCAGCUCUCCCACUUUUCCCGUGGCUUUGUGCCCACGAAGCUGCUGCUCUGGGGUAGCCUGGCCCCGGCUCCACUGGCCUGUCUGCCAAGCCCCCUGCCUGCCGGCCCACGGCUUGGGAACUCUAUGAUGCUGGGUCAGCUGGACACCUCCCCCCGCAUGGCCUUGCUACGAGGAAGCGCCUCUCGUCCCAUUGCUACCUCCCAUGGGAAAAUCCCAGGGAUCCCACUGUGCCACCAGUGAGGAAGCUCCUCUCAUCUCGGCGUUCCCACCCAUGACCUCGCUCCUGCUUCCCUCUCCCCACCAGCUCGUGCAUCAGGAAGCUCCUCUCAUCCCACGGCUACCACCAAUGCUGUCCCUCCUGCACCCCAAGCCCCCCAGCUCCCACCAACGGGGUGGCUUCUCUCACCCUCCCAUUAACACCUGGAGGACCCCUGGCCCGGCAGCUGGGGUGAGGCCUGCGGCGCCCCCCCAACCGCCCGGGGGCCUCCUUGCGCCCGGCCACCCACAACGCCAGGCUCCGCGCCCACCUGCCCCGUGCGGAUGAUGCCCAGCAGGGAGGGGAUUCUGGGACAUGCCCCACACAGGAGCAGAUGGAACCAGGACCCAGCACCGCCAGUGCCCCAGAGGAUUCUGGGAAUGUGGCUCACUACCUCCAGGAGUGUGGGGCUCUGCCUCGCCCCUGCCCGCAAGCUUGGCCCAAACUGAGGCCUGCCCCAGAGGAUGCUGGGAAGAGUGCUGGGGUCAGAGGUGGGAGGGGGCCUGGGACCAGUCUGUAACACCCCCAUGACUGCAACAACCCCUGGCACCGUGACAUGACGAAUAAAGGUUUAAUUUUCAA
Molecule: long non-coding RNA, 2560 nt
Organism: Alligator sinensis (Chinese alligator)
Lineage: Eukaryota; Metazoa; Chordata; Crocodylia; Alligatoridae
Exons: 2
Source: RefSeq, a predicted model, not a curated record